This 36-nucleotide transfer RNA is filed under the name Rubus ursinus. Its description in RNAcentral is "partial tRNA-Phe". Lineage: Eukaryota; Viridiplantae; Streptophyta; Magnoliopsida; Rosales; Rosaceae. The record is from RNAcentral.
GUCGGGAUAGCUCAGCGGUAGAGCAGAGGACUGAAA